Molecule: long non-coding RNA, 425 nt
Filed under: Phascolarctos cinereus (koala)
Lineage: Eukaryota; Metazoa; Chordata; Mammalia; Diprotodontia; Phascolarctidae
Description: lncRNA (ENSPCIG00000032611.1)
Source: RNAcentral
AAAAGAAGCAGGACCUAAAGUUACUCAGAGCUUGACCUGAUCCCUGUCUGCUGUUUCCUCUCCCUUUAUAAACCACCCUGGAGAAGACUGUCCUCAAAGGCUCUUUUGUAUCUGCUCCAGCCUUCUUUGGAUUCAAUACAAACAAGUCACUGACUCGUAGCUUUCAGAUGAGCAAGAAGAGAUGAAUUCUUCCUCAUGAAAUGAACUAACAAGGACUCACGCAGUGUGACCCUGGGCCAGUCAUUUCUUUGUAGGUAAAAUAAGAUAAUGAGAUCUCAUUCAAUUGAGGCAGUUAGGUGGUACAGUGAAUAGAGUACUGGGCCUGGAGGCAGGAAGACCUGAAUUCAAAUCUGGCUUUAGCCACUUAGUAGUUGUGUGACCCUGGGCAAGUCACUUAACUCUGUUUACCUCACUUUCCUCAUCUA